RNAcentral lists this ribosomal RNA (662 nucleotides) under uncultured bacterium. Its description in RNAcentral is "bacterial SSU rRNA". It matches the Rfam family "Bacterial small subunit ribosomal RNA", at positions 24 to 677 of the family's 1533-position model. The record is from RNAcentral.
UCAGAUUGAACGCUGGCGGCAGGCCUAACACAUGCAAGUCGAGCGGUAACAUUUCUAGCUUGCUAGAAGAUGACGAGCGGCGGACGGGUGAGUAAUACUUGGGGAUCUGCCUGAUGGCGGGGGACAACCACUGGAAACGGUGGCUAAUACCGCAUAAUGCCUACGGGCCAAAGUGUGGGACCUUCGGGCCACAUGCCAUCAGAUGAACCCAAGCGAGAUUAGCUAGUUGGUGAGGUAACGGCUCACCAAGGCGACGAUCUCUAGCUGGUCUGAGAGGAUGAUCAGCCACACUGGGACUGAGACACGGCCCAGACUCCUACGGGAGGCAGCAGUGGGGAAUAUUGGACAAUGGGCGCAAGCCUGAUCCAGCCAUGCCGCGUGUGUGAAGAAGGCCUUCGGGUUGUAAAGCACUUUCAGUGGUGAGGAAGGCGUUGUAGUUAAUAGCUGCAACGAUUGACGUUAGCCACAGAAGAAGCACCGGCUAACUCCGUGCCAGCAGCCGCGGUAAUACGGAGGGUGCGAGCGUUAAUCGGAAUUACUGGGCGUAAAGCGCACGUAGGCGGUUUGUUAAGCAAGAUGUGAAUGCCCAGAGCUCAACUCUGGAAUAGCAUUUUGAACUGGCAUGCUAGAGUUUUGGAGAGGGUGGUAGAAUUUCCAGUGUA